UUUAUGGAGAGUUUGAUCCUGGCUCAGGAUGAACGCUGGCGGCGUGCCUAAUACAUGCAAGUCGAGCGAACAGACGAGGAGCUUGCUCCUUUGACGUUAGCGGCGGACGGGUGAGUAACACGUAGGUAACCUACCUAUAAGACUGGGAUAACUUCGGGAAACCGGAGCUAAUACCGGAUAAUAUUUCGAACCGCAUGGUUCGAUAGUGAAAGAUGGCUUUGCUAUCACUUAUAGAUGGACCUGCGCCGUAUUAGCUAGUUGCUAG
RNAcentral lists this ribosomal RNA (265 nucleotides) under Staphylococcus hominis. RNAcentral's name for it is "partial 16S ribosomal RNA". It matches the Rfam family "Bacterial small subunit ribosomal RNA", at positions 1 to 255 of the family's 1533-position model. Lineage: Bacteria; Bacillati; Bacillota; Bacilli; Caryophanales; Staphylococcaceae. The record is from RNAcentral.